AUGUCCAAGCCCGACAAGCUCCAAGAUGACGUUCUCAAUUUUGACUUCACUGCCAUCCCUCUUUGUGGAAUUGAUGAUGCCGAGUCUACUAACAUUCCUUUUCAAGAUGGUGCGAUGAUGAGUACGACUACGGAGCAACUCAAGGACCAAGAUUUGGAGGCGAGCGACAUGGUGACGAGCAAGGAUGAUGCUUCCAUCUUUGUAGGCGAUAGUGAUGACGUGGCAUCUUCGACCUUCAUCCAUGGCAAGAGUGAUGAUGUGCCAUCUUCGGCCUUCAUCCACGGCGGCGACUACAAGAUGGUUGAGCAUGGGAUUUUCCCUUCAAGGCGUAUGAUGAUGAGUUGA
Molecule: ribosomal RNA, 345 nt
Filed under: Triticum aestivum (bread wheat)
Lineage: Eukaryota; Viridiplantae; Streptophyta; Magnoliopsida; Poales; Poaceae
Description: partial small subunit ribosomal RNA
Source: RNAcentral